CAGUCGCCGCGGUAAUACAGAGGGUGCGAGCGUUAAUCGGAUUUACUGGGCGUAAAGCGUGCGUAGGCGGCUUCUUAAGUCGGAUGUGAAAUCCCUGAGCUUAACUUAGGAAUUGCAUUCGAUACUGGGAAGCUAGAGUAUGGGAGAGGAUGGUAGAAUUCCAGGUGUAGCGGUGAAAUGCGUAGAGAUCUGGAGGAAUACCGAUGGCGAAGGCAGCCAUCUGGCCUAAUACUGACACUGAGGCACGAAAGCGUGGGGAGCAAACAGGAUUAGAUACCCCAGUAGUCCCUGUCUCUUAUAC
RNAcentral lists this ribosomal RNA (301 nucleotides) under uncultured bacterium. Its description in RNAcentral is "partial 16S ribosomal RNA". It matches the Rfam family "Bacterial small subunit ribosomal RNA", at positions 509 to 807 of the family's 1533-position model. The record is from RNAcentral.